CUUCUUUUUCCACCGGAGCUUGCUCCACCGGAAAAAGAGGAGUGGCGAACGGGUGAGUAACACGUGGGUAACCUGCCCAUCAGAAGGGGAUAACACUUGGAAACAGGUGCUAAUACCGUAUAACAAUCGAAACCGCAUGGUUUUGAUUUGAAAGGCGCUUUCGGGUGUCGCUGAUGGAUGGACCCGCGGUGCAUUAGCUAGUUGGUGAGGUAACGGCUCACCAAGGCCACGAUGCAUAGCCGACCUGAGAGGGUGAUCGGCCACAUUGGGACUGAGACACGGCCCAAACUCCUACGGGAGGCAGCAGUAGGGAAUCUUCGGCAAUGGACGAAAGUCUGACCGAGCAACGCCGCGUGAGUGAAGAAGGUUUUCGGAUCGUAAAACUCUGUUGUUAGAGAAGAACAAGGAUGAGAGUAACUGUUCAUCCCUUGACGGUAUCUAACCAGAAAGCCACGGCUAACUACGUGCCAGCAGCCGCGGUAAUACGUAGGUGGCAAGCGUUGUCCGGAUUUAUUGGGCGUAAAGCGAGCGCAGGCGGUUUCUUAAGUCUGAUGUGAAAGCCCCCGGCUCAACCGGGGAGGGUCAUUGGAAACUGGGAGACUUGAGUGCAGAAGAGGAGAGUGGAAUUCCAUGUGUAGCGGUGAAAUGCGUAGAUAUAUGGAGGAACACCAGUGGCGAAGGCGGCUCUCUGGUCUGUAACUGACGCUGAGGCUCGAAAGCGUGGGGAGCAAACAGGAUUAGAUAC
RNAcentral lists this ribosomal RNA (745 nucleotides) under uncultured bacterium. RNAcentral describes it as "bacterial SSU rRNA". It matches the Rfam family "Bacterial small subunit ribosomal RNA", at positions 69 to 785 of the family's 1533-position model. The record is from RNAcentral.